RNAcentral lists this ribosomal RNA (451 nucleotides) under Acidovorax sp. HPC844. Its description in RNAcentral is "bacterial SSU rRNA". It matches the Rfam family "Bacterial small subunit ribosomal RNA", at positions 34 to 482 of the family's 1533-position model. The record is from RNAcentral. Lineage: Bacteria; Pseudomonadati; Pseudomonadota; Betaproteobacteria; Burkholderiales; Comamonadaceae.
AAGGUCGUUGGCGGUAUGCCUUACCCUGCACUUCGUACCAAGGUAGCCGUAAGGGUGCUGUCGAGUGGCGAACGGGUGAGUAAUACAUCGGAACGUGCCCGAUCGUGGGGGAUAACGAGGCGAAAGCUUUGCUAAUACCGCAUACGAUCUACGGAUGAAAGCGGGGGAUCUUCGGACCUCGCGCGGACGGAGCGGCCGAUGGCAGAUUAGGUAGUUGGUGGGAUAAAAGCUUACCAAGCCGACGAUCUGUAGCUGGUCUGAGAGGAUGAUCAGCCACACUGGGACUGAGACACGGCCCAGACUCCUACGGGAGGCAGCAGUGGGGAAUUUUGGACAAUGGGCGAAAGCCUGAUCCAGCCAUGCCGCGUGCGGGAUGAAGGCCUUCGGGUUGUAAACUGCUUUUGUACGGAACGAAAGCCUCUUUCUAAUAAAGAGGGGUCUGAGGACCGAA